Molecule: ribosomal RNA, 496 nt
Filed under: uncultured bacterium
Lineage: Bacteria
Description: partial 16S ribosomal RNA
Rfam family: Bacterial small subunit ribosomal RNA
Source: RNAcentral
GAUGAACGCUGGCGGCGUGCCUAAUACAUGCAAGUCGAGCGAACGGACGAGAAGCUUGCUUCUCUGAUGUUAGCGGCGGACGGGCGAGUACACGUGGAUAACCUACCUAUAAGACUGGGAUAACUUCGGGAAACCGGAGCUAAUACCGGAUAAUAUUUUGAACCGCAUGGUUCAAAAGUGAAAGACGGUCCUGCCGUCACCUAUAGAUGGAUCCGCGCUGCAUUAGCUAGUUGGUAAGGUAACGGCUUACCAAGGCAACGAUGCAUAGCCGACCUGAGAGGGUGAUCGGCCACACUGGAACUGAGACACGGUCCAGACUCCUACGGGAGGCAGCAGUAGGGAAUCUUCCGCAAUGGGCGAAAGCCUGACGGAGCAACGCCGCGUGAGUGAUGAAGGUCUUCGGAUCGUAAAACUCUGUUAUUAGGGAAGAACAUAUGUGUAAGUAACUGUGCACAUCUUGACGGUACCUAAUCAGAAAGCCACGGCUAACUACGUG